RNAcentral lists this ribosomal RNA (627 nucleotides) under uncultured fungus. RNAcentral describes it as "eukaryotic LSU rRNA". It matches the Rfam family "Eukaryotic large subunit ribosomal RNA", at positions 24 to 664 of the family's 3401-position model. Lineage: Eukaryota; Fungi. The record is from RNAcentral.
CCCGCUGAACUUAAGCAUAUCAAUAAGCGGAGGAAAAGAAACUAACAAGGAUUCCCCUAGUAACUGCGAGUGAAGCGGGAAAAGCUCGAAUUUUAAAUCUGGCGGCCCCGCCGCCCGAGUUGUAUUCUGGAGAAGCGUCUUCCGCGCCGGACCGUGUACAAGUGCCUUGGAACAGGACGUCACAGAGGGUGAGAAUCCCGUCUUUGACACGGACCCCCGGCGCUCUGCGAUGCGCUCUCGAAGAGUCGAGUUGUUUGGGAAUGCAGCUCAAAAUGGGUGGUAAAUUCCAUCUAAAGCUAAAUAUUGGCGAGAGACCGAUAGCGAACAAGUACCGUGAGGGAAAGAUGAAAAGCACUUUGGAAAGAGAGUAAAACAGUACGUGAAAUUGUUGAAAGGGAAACGCUUGAAGUCAGUCGCGUUGGCCGGAACUCAGCCUUGCUUCUGCUUGGCGCUCUUUCCGGUCCGACGGGCCAGCAUCAGUUUCGUGUGGCGGACACUGGCGGGAGGAAGGUGGCGGCCCUGGCCGCGUUAUAGCCUCCCGUCGCGCACGCCCCGUCGGGCUGUGGAAUCCGGCGCGAGCCUAGGAUGCUGGCGUAAUGGCUUUAAACGACCCGUCUUGAAACACGG